CAAUAAAUACUACCAAAAGUGGGCGAAUUUGUCAGAAAUGGUCUUUACAAAUUCCUCAUACACACGAUAAAACAUGGUUAGGAGAUAAUAACUAUUGUCGUAAUCCACACUUGUUUCCUGGAGGACCAUGGUGUUUCACUACAGACGAGAAUGUACCAUUCGAGUAUUGUGACAUCCCAGUAUGUGAAAAACGUCCAAACGAAAGAUCAAUCGAUUGUCCUGCGGUGAAAUGUUAUAAUGAUGCAACACUCCUACUGGAAACAUGUACUUGUAGCUGUUUAUCACCC
Molecule: long non-coding RNA, 287 nt
Organism: Mytilus trossulus (common blue mussel)
Lineage: Eukaryota; Metazoa; Mollusca; Bivalvia; Mytilida; Mytilidae
Exons: 3
Source: RefSeq, a predicted model, not a curated record